AAUCAACGCUGGCGGCGUGCCUAACACAUGCAAGUCGAGCGAGAAAGUGGGGGCAACUCCAUGAGUACAGCGGCGACCGGGUGAGUAACACGUGACUAACCUACCCUUGAGUGGGGAAUAACUCCGGGAAACCGGAGCUAAUACCGCAUAACACCGCAAGGUCAAAGGAGCAAUUCGCUUAAGGAGGGGGUCGCGGUUGAUUAGCUAGUUGGUGGGGUAAUGGCCCACCAAGGCGAUGAUCAAUAGCCGGCCUGAGAGGGCGCACGGCCACACUGGAACUGAAACACGGUCCAGACUCCUACGGGAGGCAGCAGUGGGGAAUUUUGCGCAAUGGGGGAAACCCUGACGCAGCAACGCCGCGUGAAGGAUGAAGGUCUUUGGAUUGUAAACUUCUUUCGUCCGGGACGAUAAUGACGGUACCGGAAG
Molecule: ribosomal RNA, 426 nt
Filed under: uncultured bacterium
Lineage: Bacteria
Description: bacterial SSU rRNA
Rfam family: Bacterial small subunit ribosomal RNA
Source: RNAcentral